CCUACGGGAGGCAGCAGUGGGGAAUUUUGGACAAUGGGGGAAACCCUGAUCCAGCCAUCCCGCGUGUAUGAUGAAGGCCUUCGGGUUGUAAAGUACUUUUGGCAGAGAAGAAAAGGUAUCCCCUAAUACGGGGUACUGCUGACGGUAUCUGCAGAAUAAGCACCGGCUAACUACGUGCCAGCAGCCGCGGUAAUACGUAGGGUGCAAGCGUUAAUCGGAAUUACUGGGCGUAAAGCGUGUGUAGGCGGUUCGGAAAGAAAGAUGUGAAAUCCCAGGGCUCAACCUUGGAACUGCAUUUUUAACUGCCGAGCUAGAGUAUGUCAGAGGGGGGUAGAAUUCCACGUGUAGCAGUGAAAUGCGUAGAUAUGUGGAGGAAUACCGAUGGCGAAGGCAGCCCCCUGGGAUAAUACUGACGCUCAGACACGAAAGCGUGGGGAGCAAACAGGAUUAGAUACCCUGGUAGUCCACGCCCUAAACGAUGUCAACUAGCUGUUGGGGCCGUUAGGCCUUAGUAGCGCAGCUAACGCGUGAAGUUGACCGCCUGGGGAGUACGGUCGCAAGAUUAAAACUCAAAGGAAUUGACG
RNAcentral lists this ribosomal RNA (584 nucleotides) under uncultured bacterium. Its description in RNAcentral is "bacterial SSU rRNA". It matches the Rfam family "Bacterial small subunit ribosomal RNA", at positions 338 to 915 of the family's 1533-position model. The record is from RNAcentral.